Molecule: long non-coding RNA, 533 nt
Organism: Eptesicus fuscus (big brown bat)
Lineage: Eukaryota; Metazoa; Chordata; Mammalia; Chiroptera; Vespertilionidae
Exons: 3
Source: RefSeq, a predicted model, not a curated record
UUGAAGAACAGAACUGAUUGCAUCUAGGAUACUAGCCUCACCACCACACAAUCUGGUCUCAGGUGUAAGCUGGGACCCUACAACCACUUGGGACAGAGACACCAAGACUCCAGACAUCCUGGCUGUAGAUUACUGGAAGCCACCCCCUCCCCUCCUACACAGUAUUAAAUUCUGGUGCCCACCUCAUUAAGAAGACCAAGAGGGCCAGGUCCUUGGUUUCACUGUCUCUAUGUGGCCAGGAGGAGGGCACAUGAUGGAAGUCCUUCAAUGGGAAGAAUAUUUUGCUAGACUUUGACCAUGAGAAAAAUUCCCAAGACUGGUUUUGUCACCUUCCAGAGGAUUCUCUGAGCUCACCAGGUCCUUUCACUAAAUACCCUGUUUUGCCUGAUAAUUACGCCUGUUCUUAUUAUUGCAACCAAGAAUCUAAGACUGAUAAAGGUGUUAAAGACAAAGUGAAAAUGAUGAUUGAUAGUUGCAUUAUAUAUGUACAAACUGUCCUGCAUCCAAGUAAAAUUAAAAUGUUAAUCCUAUGU